Non-coding RNA from Arvicola amphibius (Eurasian water vole), 140 nucleotides. RefSeq annotates it as small Cajal body-specific RNA 11. The record is from RefSeq and is a predicted model, not a curated record. NCBI's taxonomy places the organism in Eukaryota, Metazoa, Chordata, Mammalia, Rodentia, Cricetidae. The transcript has a single exon.
UUGUCCUGUGCCUUUUCCUGCUCCCCUGUGCAUGCUCAGUCUUAACAGGGUAGUCUGGCCGGACACACAGCAAUUUCCCUCUCAGUUUAGGAGAGCUGUCCUAAGAAUAGGGCUGGCUCUUAAAGGCACGAGAGGACAAU